This 1129-nucleotide ribosomal RNA is filed under the name uncultured bacterium. RNAcentral describes it as "bacterial SSU rRNA". It matches the Rfam family "Bacterial small subunit ribosomal RNA", at positions 197 to 1346 of the family's 1533-position model. The record is from RNAcentral.
AAUAUCAAAGCUUUAUGUGCUGAAAGAUGGCCUCGCGUCUGAUUAGAUAGUUGGUGAGGUAACGGCUCACCAAGUCGACGAUCAGUAGCCGGUCUGAGAGGAUGAACGGCCACAUUGGGACUGAGAUACGGCCCAGACUCCUACGGGAGGCAGCAGUGGGGAAUAUUGGGCAAUGGGGGAAACCCUGACCCAGCAACGCCGCGUGAAGGAAGAAGGCCUUCGGGUUGUAAACUUCUUUUGGCAGGGACGAAGGACGUGACGGUACCUGCAGAAAAAGCAACGGCUAACUACGUGCCAGCAGCCGCGGUAAUACGUAGGUUGCAAGCGUUGUCCGGAUUUACUGGGUGUAAAGGGCGUGUAGGCGGAGGUGCAAGUUGGGAGUGAAAUCCCGGGGCUCAACCCCGGAACUGCUUUCAAAACUGCAUCCCUUGAGUGUCGGAGAGGCAAGCGGAAUUCCUAGUGUAGCGGUGAAAUGCGUAGAUAUUAGGAGGAACACCAGUGGCGAAGGCGGCUUGCUGGACGAUAACUGACGCUGAGGCGCGAAAGCGUGGGGAGCAAACAGGAUUAGAUACCCUGGUAGUCCACGCUGUAAACGAUGAAUACUAGGUGUGGGAGGACUGACCCCUUCCGUGCCGCAGUUAACACAAUAAGUAUUCCACCUGGGGAGUACGACCGCAAGGUUGAAACUCAAAGGAAUUGACGGGGGCCCGCACAAGCAGUGGAUUAUGUGGUUUAAUUCGACGCAACGCGAAGAACCUUACCAGGACUUGACAUCCAACUAACGAAGUAGAGAUACAUUAGGUGCCCUUCGGGGAAAGUUGAGACAGGUGGUGCAUGGUUGUCGUCAGCUCGUGUCGUGAGAUGUUGGGUUAAGUCCCGCAACGAGCGCAACCCCUAUUGUUAGCUGCUACGCAAGAGCACUCUAGCGAGACUGCCGUUGACAAAACGGAGGAAGGCGGGGACGACGUCAAAUCAUCAUGCCCCUUAUGUCCUGGGCUACACACGUAAUACAAUGGCCGUCAACAAAGGGAAGCAAUAUCGCGAGAUGGAGCAAAUCCCCAAAAACGGUCUCAGUUCGGAUUGCAGGCUGCAAUUCGCCUGCAYGAAGCYGGAMUUGMUAGUAAUCGUG